This 618-nucleotide ribosomal RNA is filed under the name uncultured archaeon. RNAcentral's name for it is "bacterial SSU rRNA". It matches the Rfam family "Archaeal small subunit ribosomal RNA", at positions 148 to 765 of the family's 1478-position model. The record is from RNAcentral.
AAUGACAGAUAGUACUCCAGUGCUGGAAUGCAGCGAGUAUGAAAUGCUCCGGCGCCAUAGGAUGUGACUGCGGCCGAUUAGGUAGACGGUGGGGUAACGGCCCACCGUGCCGAUAAUCGGUACGGGUGGUGAGAGCCAGAGCCCGGAGAUGGAAUCUGAGACAAGAUUCCAGGCCCUACGGGGCGCAGCAGGCGCGAAAACUUUACAAUGCGCGCAAGCGCGAUAAGGGGACCCCGAGUGCGAGGGCGUAAAGUUCUCGCUUUUGUAUAUCGUAAGAAGAUAUACGAAUAAGGGCUGGGCAAGACCGGUGCCAGCCGCCGCGGUAAUACCGGCAGCUCGAGUGAUGAUCACUAUUAUUGGGCCUAAAGCGUCCGUAGCCGGUCAAACAAGUCCUUCGGUAAAUCCACCCGCUUAACGGGUGGGCUCUCGAGGGAAACUGCUUGACUUGGGGCCGGGAGAUCUGAGGGGUACGUCUGGGGUAGGGGUGAAAUCCUGUAAUCCUAGACGGACCAUCGGUGGCGAAAGCGCCUCAGAAGAACGGACCCGACGGUCAGGGACGAAAGCUAGGGUCUCGAACCGGAUUAGAUACCCGGGUAGUCCUAGCCGUAAACGAUGCUC